CUGUCUCCUUGCAGGUCUCAAUGGUGAAAUGGUCGCUGUAGGAAUCCCAAGUACUUGCCCCACCAGAGGCUCCCAAACUUUGGAGAAGAGAAAAGAAAACUGAUGAUUCUUACCCCUUCUCAACAAAUUAUAUGUGAUCGAGUUUGAGUUUCUGCAGCAGAAAGCCUGUUAGGGUCCCCGCACCCACGACAAAGCACAGACAUCCAUGCAGCCAAGGUUCACUACAUACAAGAUUCUACCUCCUUCAGUGAAGUAUCUAUAAGCAGCUAAAAACAGAUUUCUUUCCCGUCAUCAAUUUCCUAGGAGACAACUCCGAAAAAAUUUCCUCAGGGUUCCUUACAGUAACUGAGAGGGCUGCUGUGAUGAUAAAGGGAUAACGUAUACAGAGUGCUGGCACAGGAUCUGGCACACGAUGCUCAGGGUAAGACUCCAUUCCUCUGAUACCUGGACCCAAACUGGACACAAGAAAACUCAUCACCACCACCACCACCUUCAUCAUCACCAUCAUCAUCAUCAUCAUCAUCUUCUUCAUCUUCAUCACUACUGUCGCCAGAAAGUGCGAGGAAGAGGAAGGAGAAAGGAUUGUCGUACAUACUACCACAACAAAAGCAAAAAAGGUCAUCAGGGAACAAAGGAAAAACAAGAGGUGGAAAAGCUUUUGUAACUGCUGUCUCUUUUUAAUUAAAUGUUAUGCUAAAAGUUCUAA
Canis lupus familiaris (dog) is the source of this 706-nucleotide long non-coding RNA. RefSeq lists it as uncharacterized. The record is from RefSeq and is a predicted model, not a curated record. The transcript is spliced from 4 exons. Lineage: Eukaryota; Metazoa; Chordata; Mammalia; Carnivora; Canidae.